This 1630-nucleotide long non-coding RNA is filed under the name Gallus gallus (chicken). RNAcentral's name for it is "lncRNA (ENSGALG00000055139.2)". Lineage: Eukaryota; Metazoa; Chordata; Aves; Galliformes; Phasianidae. The record is from RNAcentral.
AGUCCCUCAGGCCAUACAACAGAGCUGGAGGUGAAGCUUCUGCAGUCAGCUGUUGGAAGAUGCAUAAAAUGGAGCACUAAUGCUUCUUGGCAAAAAGGCAUUCCUUUGCUUAUUUUCCUUAUAGUUCCCUUCCAAGCAACUCUUUACACUUCUUAUAUGCUGUGUAUUUUUUACUUAAUCUUCCUAAGAUCUGGGCAUUUGUUCCCAUGUUAUAUUCAGACACUGGAACAACUUGUAACUUCUAUAAUGUGUGGGUAGACCAAUAUUUGGAGUGUGAUACCAAUCCUCCACUGGGAUACAGAGAAUGCAUCUGAAGCUUGAAAAUCUACGGUUCUAGCUCAAGCCUUAGGAAAGUAAAGAAAAAAGAAACUCUUUUGGUGGAUGAGAAGUUCUUCAAUACCAAUCCCAAGCAGUAAAAGUUGUGAAUCUCAGAGGAAGGACUGCUCUUGCAUUUGGGAGCUGCAAACCUCAGAAGCCCACCAGCGUGAUCCUUCCUUGUGCAGAGAAAGGAUGAGUUACCUACGCACAAGGAAAUCUGCUUUAACUCCUCAAAGCUGGCAAAGCUAGACUGGGCUCAGUGCCAACAAAAGGGUGGUCUUUGAUAAUAAUUUUUUUCUUCUCACCUAAAUUCUCUCUCUGAUCAGAAGUAUGAAAAUGACCUUUAAAUCCUAGACAUAUAGAACAGCCCUGCUUUUCAGUGGUUACCUCAGUGUUACCUGGUAUUAACAUGCAGUAGGUUCAGUGGGAGCUUGAAGAUACACCACUCCCAAGCAGAACUCCCAUUGAUUGUCUACCCUCAGACUUCAAAAUGAUGGGUCGUGUUCUCAGCUAGUUACAUGAAUAUUUUUCAAGUACUUUAUGGCAUUCUACAUAUGUUGUGCUUCUGGCCCCUUUUUUUCAAUCAUUAUUACAUAAUCGUUUGUGUUAAUCAGCAUCAGUAUUUGGUCCUAGGAAAAAAUAUUUUCUUUGAAAAUAGAUUGCUGGAAGAUAAGGUAGAAAUGUUUGAUGCUGGCAAACCUUACAUAAGGAUUUAAGCUAAACUGAUUGGAAGGAGAGCAGUUAAAAUCCUUAUAGUAAUGUCAAUAUAUAAAACAGAGCACUCCUAAAAUAAAAUUAAAAUAGGUCAGAAUUUUUAAAAUUAAUACUUUCAUUCACUCUGUCUGCUGGAAUAGAUUUUGUAGGACCACUCAUCAUUUUUAUGUCCUUAAUUCAUCCCAUUUAAGAAUCAAAUAUUACAUAAUUCUUUAUCAAAGUUUUCUUGGAUUGCUUAUCUUAUUUUUAACAACUGAAAAACUCUUACCAAAUAGGUACAUCACACGCAUUAAAAUGUGCAGAGACCCCAGAACAUUUGUAUAUACAUUAAUACUAAUGAGAUAAUCCACCUGCUUAUUUCACUACACAGCAGCUAUGCAGAUUUUAAAGUGUUCAAUUAAACUUCAUUCAGUACAUAGAUUAUUGAUCCAAUCUGGAGAAUGAUGUCACUGGUAGGUUAAAAAUAUAUAUAUUUUACCUUUUAAAAUAAAAUUGCUCACUUAGAAAAACUGCACAUAUAAACCUUACACAUAAAUUGUUCUGGAAAAUUUGUUUCAUAGAGCAACAAAAAGAAGGAAAAUAAAAUAAAAGCAGUUAC